GGCUUUGUAGUGUAGUGGUUAUCACUUGAGAUUUUGAUGUGGUUUGAUGCGCUUACAAGUUCUCAAAACCCAGGUUCGAACCCUGGCAAGGCCU
This is a non-coding RNA of Gyrodon lividus, 94 nucleotides long. Lineage: Eukaryota; Fungi; Basidiomycota; Agaricomycetes; Boletales; Gyrodontaceae. The record is from the annotation of a GenBank genome assembly.